RNAcentral lists this ribosomal RNA (427 nucleotides) under uncultured Vogesella sp. Its description in RNAcentral is "bacterial SSU rRNA". It matches the Rfam family "Bacterial small subunit ribosomal RNA", at positions 353 to 772 of the family's 1533-position model. The record is from RNAcentral. Lineage: Bacteria; Pseudomonadati; Pseudomonadota; Betaproteobacteria; Neisseriales; Chromobacteriaceae.
AGUGGGGAAUUUUGGACAAUGGGCGAAAGCCUGAUCCAGCCAUGCCGCGUGAGUGAAGAAGGCCUUCGGGUUGUAAAGCUCUUUUGUCCGGGAGGAAAUCCCGCAACCUAAUACGUUGCGGGGAUGACAGUACUGGAAGAAUAAGCACCGGCUAACUACGUGCCAGCAGCCGCGGUAAUACGUAGGGUGCAAGCGUUAAUCGGAAUUACUGGGCGUAAAGCGUGCGCAGGCGGUUUGAUAAGUCAGAUGUGAAAUCCCCGGGCUUAACCUGGGAACUGCGUUUGAAACUGUCAGGCUAGAGUACGUCAGAGGGGGGUGGAAUUCCACGUGUAGCAGUGAAAUGCGUAGAGAUGUGGAGGAACACCGAUGGCGAAGGCAGCCCCCUGGGAUGAUACUGACGCUCAUGCACGAAAGCGUGGGGAGCAAA